This is a long non-coding RNA of Sander lucioperca (pikeperch), 385 nucleotides long. RefSeq lists it as uncharacterized. NCBI's taxonomy places the organism in Eukaryota, Metazoa, Chordata, Actinopteri, Perciformes, Percidae. The transcript is spliced from 2 exons. The record is from RefSeq and is a predicted model, not a curated record.
GUGAUGUCAUAAUGCAGCAACAAAGUAAUCUGUACUUUCUAAGGGGGUCUUGCCCAGGGCGUAAUUCAAUGUAGAACCGCCAGUGAGACUAAGAAUAUGCCAAUAGUAUUAUAGUAUUGCCUCUGAGGGCUGUUGACAGAUGUCAGGAGAUUCUUACUAAGAGGGAACAUGUUGUGUAAAGGGAACUACAGUCUGACUAUAGUGUCACACGGACACACACUGUUUGGCGAGACGCACAAGUUAUCAAGUAAACCUUGAAAAACACUCAUCUCUCCGUUUCUUUUUGUUUUCAAGAUACAUUCAUAAGGUUAACGUUGUAAAUCUUUACAGUCAUUCACCGUAAGAACCAAGCAGGCCGGCCUUGUUGCACAAUCCAAAUUUUCUU